AUACGGAGGGUGCAAGCGUUAUCCGGAAUCACUGGGUUUAAAGGGUGCGUAGGCUGUCCGACAAGUCAGAGGUGAAAUACACGAGCUUAACUGGUGAAUUGCCUUUGAAACUGUCGAGCUAGAAUUGAGUUGAGGUCAGCGGAAUGUGACAUGUAGCGGUGAAAUGCAUAGAUAUGUCAUAGAACACCAAUUGCGUAGGCAGCUGGCUAGGCUUAAAUUGACGCUGAGGCACGAAAGCGUGGGGAGCGAACAGGAUUAGAUACCCUAGUAGUCC
This 274-nucleotide ribosomal RNA is filed under the name uncultured bacterium. Its description in RNAcentral is "partial 16S ribosomal RNA". It matches the Rfam family "Bacterial small subunit ribosomal RNA", at positions 523 to 796 of the family's 1533-position model. The record is from RNAcentral.